RNAcentral lists this long non-coding RNA (4833 nucleotides) under Sus scrofa (pig). Its description in RNAcentral is "lncRNA (ENSSSCG00055002191.1)". Lineage: Eukaryota; Metazoa; Chordata; Mammalia; Artiodactyla; Suidae. The record is from RNAcentral.
CCCUUAUUCAUUUCUGGUUCUCAGUGCUAGUCACAUUCAGUCACAGGAUAGCAACUUUCAAGGCUGGCAUAGAUUAAGAAAUGCUCCUUUCUUCUGUGACCCUUCAACCUAGGAAAUUUCCCCUAGUUCUGCUUCAUAUUCUUUGCUCCCAGCAAUGAGGAUUGUUCUGUCAUUGCUGAUGUAGUAGGCUGCCUCUGCUUGUCCCAUGGAACAUCUGGAUGGCCCCUAUUUUCUGGAGGACACGCCAUCCAGGACUCAGGCUUCAGUUUCCCUUUGGUUUAUCACCUGCUCCUGACACCCUAGGAGAGCCCCAGCAACACCUGGAGCUUACAAGGGAGGGGAAACUAGAGAGGAAGCUAGCCUAGUCCUUAGGACAAAGUAGGCUGUCUUUACGUAUCUAUAGACCUAGGCUAAAAUCCCAUGAACACUUUUUGAAAAUACCAAGAAUCCCGUGCUUUUCUUUAUCCCUACAUGACCCUGAGUGACAGAACAUCAAGGGUCAUGUGAUAAUUACAGUUCACAUUCUGGAGUUCUUGAGCAAUAGGCUAAAUAAACUGCAUUUUGGAAAGACUCUUACCUUUGCUAGUUUUGAUUUUGCCACAGGCAAAGCGGGAAAAGAGGGGUGUAUGUUCCUGGACUGUUUCUCAAUUAGGUCUAUUCGAAAGGUUAUUUAGUGAGAGUUUUUAAGGAUGCUGAAGCCCAUGGAGAGCUAGUGAAUCAGAAUCUUCACAGGGAGAACUUAAGUGUUUGUAUUUGGAGAAACAUCUCCGAGUCAUGCUGGUGAUCAGGCCUGGCAGAAAGUCACUUUAGAUUAUCUGCAAGGUUUUUGUGAUGGAUUCCUCAGAACAAAGUCCAAAAAGUUCUAGAGCUGACCAAUGGAUGAAGGACUUUUUUAAAAGAAUAAAGCUGGCGCUGGGAUGUUUGUCGAAGUUGCCACUUCCUUCAAGUGCCGGAUACAUGUUGUUCAUGUGGAGGCCACCACUAUAAAAUUCCGUAUCCAAAGGAUGCAGAAGGGAGACUUCCCUACCCUGGCCAAUGCCUCAAGUUUCUGCAUACAGCUUGGAUUAUCUGUUUAAAACCCUAUCAUUAAUUAUCCUUUCUUAUUUGCUUCACAGUCACCCAAAUGUGGCAUUUUUUUUCCAAUUAUUUUUUUCCAGGGAAUGCUAAUAUACUAGAUAAAAAAAGUAACAUGUGAUAGUUAAUGGGCAAAAUGCAGCUGAAAAAAGAUUGAAUGCAAACAUAAAUCCUGCAUCCUGUGGUUAUGUGCAAAGUGCUUUGUGGAAGAUCAGUUUACUUCUCUGGACUUCAAAUUUCUAACUGUAAACUGAAUGGAUUACUAUAGCUUAUAAGUUCUUAACGAACGGAUGAGGUUCCAAGUAUCGACAAAUGUAUGAAUUUUUAAUAUGAUUUUAUGAAUAACGAUGUAUGUGCUUGUCUAAUUCAAUUUUUACCACAGGAGAAAGUUCAUAGGUAAAGCUAAUUAAAAUUAGGGUCUCAGUGGAGACAGUAAAUUAGUUAAACAGCUAUAAAAAACGGCGGAGACAGUAAAUUAGUUAAAUAGCAGUAAAAGUUAUAAUAUUGCUUAUUCUUUAAUAUUCUAUAGUUACAUUAACCUGAGUGCUAAUUCAGAAAAAUCUAGAAGAUUUCAAAACUGCAUGGGAGUUCUUUUGUGGCACAGUGGGUUAAGGAUCUGGCACUGUCACCAUAGUGGCUUGGGUUACUACUGUGACAUGGGUUCAACCUCUGGCCUAGGAAUUUCUACAUGCCAUGAGUGUGGCCAAAAAAAAAAAAAUGUAUGGACAUAGUCAUUUGGGAUAUUAAAUUAUACAAUUCAAACCAAAAGUCAUCUUUGGUGACUAAAAUAGUCUAUAUUUUUGCUCCUAUCAAUUUGUGUAACACCAACUAUAUUUUUGUCAAGUUUCCAUAGCAUUUGUUUGAUGAUAACAGAUCAGUGUUAACAGAAUGAACACAUCAAAAUAAAAACCUUCCUUUGGAUGAUAAUUCCACAUAAGCUUGGAACAUUCCCAAUUCUUGGAACAGCCUUAAAGAUGGAGUGAGUCAUGAAAUGUUACCUCCUUUUAGAAUGAGGGAGUUUAGGUGUAUAGAGAAAGACAGGCUCCAAGUCACAUAGAAUAGCAACACUGGAGUAGUCUGUUUCUGACCCCACAGCACUGUGGUCCAACAUAUCAAUGCCAUUCUCUGUAUCUUUCACCACCAUAGCUAGUAAGACCUCUCAGAAAGGAAAGACGUAGCAUCUUUUUAGGAUUCGUUGUGUCACAGGCAGAAGAAGAAAGGAAUUCAUGUAAACAUUCCCCUCCCUGUUCCUUUUUUUCUAGUCAGACUCUUUGGAGAGGUCUAGUUCUCUUCCCGGAUGAGGGUCGUUAUACAAGGUUUUCAAUCUCUUUGAUCCUCAGUUUUUCUUCCUUAUCAAUGUGAGAUGGCUGUAGCUACCUCAUAUGGUGUUGCAAAGUUAAUCUUCAACAGACUCAUCUCCAGCAGGGUAGACACCUUAUCUACAACAAGGGCUGAGUUAUUCUUCUCUAACUUCUUCCUUCACCAUCCUCACUGACCAGUUGCCUCUAGAAGCCAUUUAUCAACUGCAGAAUGUCAUGGAGAGAAUAUACACUCAAACAAUUUUGAAAUUCCAUCCUCAAAUUUCCUUUUCUUCCUGAUUCUCCCAAUUUUGUGACUCUCCUAGAGAACUGCUUCUCCCCACAGUCAUUUCAACUCCUCUUUCUCACAGUCUCUUAGUGCUUCCAGCUGUGUUUCCUCAUUUCCUAUUUGGCUUUCAUGUUCUCCAUUGGACCUGAAGGAGUCUCCAGUUCAUUGGUCACAGAAUUUCUCAGGUCACUAGUCCCAGUUUGUGAAGGGUUUCCCACCUAAUCUGGUUUUUGAGAACCUACAGUUACCUUACAGGGGGGAUGAGCCCAAGUAGCUCCCACUGGACUCAGAAAGCUAGAGGACAGAGGGAAAACACUUGAAUUCCAAGGCUCUUCCUGGCCUGAUCCCAGUAACUAUCCAAUCAAAGUACUUUUUGGCCUCAUAAUUGGAAACACUGUGUCAAUUUCUCCCUAGGUAUUAACAGAUACACACUUAGAGUAGAUCAGUAGUACAAACAUCAUACAGUGUUCAUGCUUUUUAAUAGUGAAACUCAUAAAGGAUGAGUAACAGUGAGUAAAAGGGCUUCGCACACCUUUCCAAGAAGCUGAAAAUGUUACCCUGUUCCAAAACACCAGAACAUGAUUUUUAUAAUACCUUAGUUAAGACUGACCCUAUUUCUCUAUUUUGAUUCUUUUCUCUUUUUUUAAACCUUGUUCAUUUAUUUACUCAUGAAAAUAUUGGAAGAAGGGGAGACAUCUAUUUAAACAGUGUACUAGGCCACAAGUAUUAACAAAUAAUUAAGAUGCAGUUUGUCUCCAAGGAGGAUGGAAUUAGUAGAUCAAGACAGACAUGGACACAAAUGAAUAUCAACACAAUGAAAAAAAGUAUAAUAAGAGAUAUGUAUGCAUGACACAAAGAUGGCAUGGAUGAAGAGGUGGCCAUUUCUUAUGGCAGGAUGAGAGGAAGGGGUUCUUAAUUAGAUGAUUUGAUUGGUUUUUUGAAAAUACAACAAUCAAAUGAUGGAGAAAACUGUGGAGAAGCCACCUGAGACGUUACUGUGAAAUAAACAUGUUACGUUACUUGAUCUUCUGAGGGGAAGGCAGCUAUUGGAAAUUGUUAAACAGGAAAGAAGUCGUUUAGAAUCUUCACUCUAACAACCAGGUAGGGAACAUGGAUUGGUGGGAAAGACACAGGAGGCAACAAAAAUAGUGGAGGAGUGAUGGCAAUAGCUCAGGUCAGGGGUGAAUGUGUCAGAACCAGGGAAGUGGCAGGAAUCAUGAAGAGAAGCUGGUGGAAUUCAGGGAGCAAAACCGACAGGAUGUGUUAGUUAAUAUAAUUGAGAAGUGAGGCAAGGAAAAAUAGAGUACGGAUCCCAUGCUUAUGAUCGAAAUGUGGUCCUCAGGUACAAGCAUGGCUCAAAAUGUCAUAUUAAGUUGUUUUUAUUCUCUGACAACAUUCCCCAACAGACAAAACAGUACUUUUCUGAGCUUUAACUCUAUAUCUUGUCUUGCUUUGCUCAGAGGUGAUCUUCCGAAAAUCAAACUUAAAAAGAAAUCCAUCUGUCCAGCCCAUGUGUAAAUCCAAUCCUUGCCACUCCUGUGCUCUCAAAAUUAAGUUCAAGCCCCUUAACAUGGAUUGCAUAUUACAUGAUUUGGUCUCUGCCUGUCUUCCUAGCUUUAGGUACCCACUAUUCCCAAUCCCUUUUCCCUGUACACUAAUGAUCCAAUCACAAUGCACUUCUCUUUUCUUUGACCUCUGUAUCAUUGAAACGGCAGUUUCCUUUGCCAGGAACCACCACCACAUACACGCAUAUACACACGCAAACACAGCAUACUACUUCCUGGCAAACUCCUACUCAUGUUCAAAGCAUGCUUGAAACGUCAUGUCCUUUGUUCAUCCUCCUCCAUUACUGCCAUCCCUCAAAUGCUGAAUUUAUUCCACAUCUUCUCUCCUUAGAUCUUUUCCAUUUACUCAAUUACAACACAUGCUACUCUUAUUUCUGUUAAAAAAAAAAUUUCAUUUAGCCAAACACUAUGCCAGUGGCGAAGGGUAUAUUGAUAAACAGCACCGUCUAAGUUGCUACUAUCUUAGAACUUACUUCGGGGGGGGGGUGGGGUGUCAAGACAGGCCACCCAAAGAUAUGCCCCAGUGGCAUAUUGAUUAUUUUGAAUUAAAGCUACAGCUGGCUCAGGGUGAAAGGCUAUUGAAAACAACAACAAUACUCUGACCCUU